Molecule: non-coding RNA, 2382 nt
Organism: Cricetulus griseus (Chinese hamster)
Lineage: Eukaryota; Metazoa; Chordata; Mammalia; Rodentia; Cricetidae
Source: RefSeq, a predicted model, not a curated record
AAAUAUACAAUUUGGUCAUGAAAUAAAUGGUUAUUCUGGGUAUUUCAGCUUUAAAGUCCUUCCCCCAAGAAAUGAAAAUAUGAGGGUCAGCAGUGACCACGUGAAAGUAACUUUGUUCUCUAGCAUUGCCCGUCCCCCGUCCCUGGUCCCCCGUCCCCAGCCCUGUGUGGGGUUAUGCCGCUGGGGCUGCUGGCGCCUUGGCUGACUUCCAGUACGCCACGUAUGCGAGAAGAACUUGAACGCUAGGUCUUCUCCCUCCACCUCCUAAACGCUGUCCGCGUUUGAUUCUGGUUUAAAACCGGAAAGUUGUUCUGCCAGCAAACUCUAGUUUUUCCUAAUGAUCCCUAGUGGGGUGCUCGGGCCGUCUUGUUGGCUCCAGAGCUCUUCCCUCGCACGAGUUGAAAGCCCAGGAUCCAUUUCCGGGUGACAUCGUGUCUACGGCCUCUGUCACCACGGCCCCUCGGGAAAUGUAGUUUUAGGUUCGCGUGGGUUGCGCCUUCCCCUUCACUCCCCCUCUUCCGAAGGAAGCUUCUUUUCCCGCGCCUCGCACGCUAGCGCGGGUGGCAGAAACGGAAGUGACGUCCGCGCCGAGACAGGGAUUGGGGUGAGGGCGCUCGGGGCUGAGACGCUCCUUGCAGCGCUUGCUGCUGUGCCUAUGACAGAUGGUGGGAUUUCCGAGUAACUAUUUACAGUGAUCUGGUGCUUAGAACCCUAGCUGUCUGGCUUUGAACUUGAGCUGUACCAGAGGAUGACUGACAUAUGCCAUGCUUCUGCUCAAGUGCUGGAAUUACAGAGAAUGCAGUCAGAAAUUAUGCUGCUUGUGAAGAGAUACAUUGAGCCUUUUGGUCCAGUGAAGUUAUUAAGAAUGUGAUUUAAAAUUGUGAUAAAAUCUGGAUUGCUGGGAAGCCAGAAUUUUGUCGUUGGUUAAGAUAAACUUCUAAGGUCUGCCCCUCAGAUUGUCCUACUCAAGAUUUGCCAGCACACCAGGAUGAAUCAAUUGUUUCCAUGGAUAGACACCUUUGGGAGACAGUUGGAAAGCCUUGGUUAACCUGGAACUUUAGUCCACCAUGGUUUCAAAGUUGGCAAUCCCUUAACUACUUCCUCCUGAGUGCUAGGAUUACAGGUAUUCACCAGCCCAUCUCAGCCACUAUUAAUACCUGCCAUUGCCUCUUUAUGAAAUGAUGGCCAGUCUAGCUGAGUGUGGGAAAUUGUGGAUAGUGGCUGACUAUCUUUUUGUUGCUCUUCUUUUGGCUAGACUCAAACCCAGGAUCAUGGACAUACUAAACAAUUGCUCUAGCACUGAACUGUAUCUCUGCCUCUGGGGAAGGUAUCUUUAAAAAAAGGUUGUAGAGUUUGCCAGAUCCUAUGAGUGACCUCAAAAGAGAAGAGGAGGGUUCUCCCCUCAGUGAUAAAGAAUUCUGAGGAGUUAAUGCUUCCAUGAAUAUCUCAGAAGGAGACAUGGACAAAGGAACAGGUAUCUCACUCCAAUAGGUUGGACCACAGUGAUCUUUGAUUAAAAGUUUCAUCAUUUCAAUCUGGGGUCUGCUGUUAUGAUGUGUUUCAGCAAUUUCUCUUCCUCACACUGCUCAGAACUGGAUGUGUGAAAAGCUGCAUUGUGAAUAAAAACUCAGUGUGUGUUGGGAGUAGAGUCCUUGUUGCUAUCUGGAUGUAACAACAGGAGUGACACACAAAGCCAAUGCAGAGGAAGGUGUUGCUCAUCAAUGGGUCCAGUACCUGAGGAACAAGAGAACCAACAGGAAGUGGACAGCAGUGUGACCUUUUGAGAGAAGACUUGAGCAAAAAGGUUGACUCAAUUGGACUUGCCUUUUUUUGAAUGUAAAGAACAUGCAUAAUUUUAUAAUCUUGGAAGUAACUGCUUAUUAUAUACCAUUCAGUACUAAACAAUUUUAUAGCACAAGAGAUAUCUUACUAUAUAUUUUUAUUAUAGUUUUUCAUUUCAAAAUUUAAAAGUAUAUUUCUAUGUUAUGUUUUUUGAUAAAUACAAUAUAAAGUCUAAAUAUGGAGUUUACUAGAUUGUUUUAUACUAUCAUAUUUACUUUUUGAACCUUGCGGAUUUUUCUUUUAUGAAAUGUAACAUUAUACAUACAUGUCUUGUAUGUACUGAAUAAAUUUCUAGGGGGCUAGAGAGAUGGCUCAGCAGGUUAAGAGCACUGCGUGUUCUUCCAAAGGUCUCUGGUUCAAUUCCCAGCACCCACAUGGCAGCUAACAACUGUCUGUCACUCCAAGAUCUGACACUUUCAUACAGACAUACAUACAGACAAAAAAACCAAUGCAAAUUAAAUAAAAAUAAAUAAUAAAUAAAUAAUAAAUAUUUUUUAAAAAAAUAAAUUUCUACCAAUGAAGACUUCUUGGCAUCAUAAG